AUUGAACGCUGGCGGCAUGCCUUACACAUGCAAGUCGAACGGCAGCACGGGUGCUUGCACCUGGUGGCGAGUGGCGAACGGGUGAGUAAUAUAUCGGAACGUACCUUGUUGUGGGGGAUAACGCAGCGAAAGCUGUGCUAAUACCGCAUAAUCCCUAAGGGGGAAAGCGGGGGACCGUAGGCAUCGCGCAAUUAGAGCGGCCGAUACCUGAUUAGCUAGUUGGUGAGGUAAAGGCUCACCAAGGCAACGAUCAGUAGCUGGUCUGAGAGGACGAUCAGCCACACUGGGACUGAGACACGGCCCAGACUCCUACGGGAGGCAGCAGUGGGGAAUUUUGGACAAUGGGGGCAACCCUGAUCCAGCAAUGCCGCGUGAGUGAAGAAGGCCUUCGGGUUGUAAAGCUCUUUUGUCAGGGAAGAAACAGCAGCUCUAACACAGUAUGCGAAUGACGGUACCUGAAGAAUAAGCACCGGCUAACUACGUGCCAGCCGCCGCGGUAA
Molecule: ribosomal RNA, 500 nt
Filed under: uncultured bacterium
Lineage: Bacteria
Description: partial 16S ribosomal RNA
Rfam family: Bacterial small subunit ribosomal RNA
Source: RNAcentral